Molecule: non-coding RNA, 646 nt
Organism: Vicugna pacos (alpaca)
Lineage: Eukaryota; Metazoa; Chordata; Mammalia; Artiodactyla; Camelidae
Source: RefSeq, a predicted model, not a curated record
GUGGUAGUUCCAACUGGCGAAUCGUCGAAUCUGUCUCUGGUUCCAACAACAGCUCUUGUCAUAAACAUCAAGCGCUAUUCCUUUGAGAAAACGAGAGGAUGCAGGGCUACAAAGAGUCCAUCAGCAUUGAGUCAGCGGGAUAAAUGAAGAGCCAAGUUUGCACCGCCAUCUCCCGGCUUAGUCUCAGCAGGUCUUUGACAAAACCACUGAAUAGUACUACACUAUGGCUUUUCAAUAAGACAGGAAUCUAUGAAUGAAAAUACUUUGGGCACAAUUGCACAUGAUAGAUACCAGCAAGGGCCCAGGCCAUAGGCCUUUUCUGCCUGCCCCCCACAUGCUGCUGCAGCUUUCCUCUGCAACCCUCAAUGUUUUUAAAUACCCCUACAGGAUCAGGGGGAAGGAUUCAGUCCUGGGUGAAAGGAUAUAGUGACAAUGAGUAAGGAGCUUGAAAAUGACCCAGCCUGCUGCCAACAUUGCUGCAGAUCUCUUGGUGGAGAGCCCAGAUCCAUUCCAGUAAGCUGCUCAAAAUGUUUGAUUCCAUUUUUUAUUUGGUUGCCAAUUUAUUAAGUGGUUAACCUUGGACUGUAUCUAUCCAGCAUUUAAUUAAGGCCAGUUUGAAAUACCUUCAGAAACCUUACUAAUUUCA